CUAGUAUUACCUCGGUCGAGAAUUACUUGUCUCAGAUUUUUCUAGAUACGGAUGUAUCUCACACUAAAACGUGUCUAGAUACAUCCGUGUAUAGACAAAUCUAAGACAUGUAAUUCGGGACGGAGGGAGUAUGAU
Molecule: non-coding RNA, 135 nt
Organism: Triticum aestivum (bread wheat)
Lineage: Eukaryota; Viridiplantae; Streptophyta; Magnoliopsida; Poales; Poaceae
Source: Rfam